Molecule: long non-coding RNA, 12659 nt
Organism: Mirounga angustirostris (Northern elephant seal)
Lineage: Eukaryota; Metazoa; Chordata; Mammalia; Carnivora; Phocidae
Exons: 3
Source: RefSeq, a predicted model, not a curated record
AUGAGAGGGGGGAGGGUCAGAGGGAGAAGCAGACUCCCUGCAGAGCAGGGAGCCCAAUGCGGGACUCGAACCAGGGACUCCGGGAUCAUGACCUGAGCCGAAGGCAGUUGCUUAACCAACUGAGCCACCCAGGCGCCCGUGGGUUUUACUGUUUUAAAGGACACUUUCAUAUCUGUUAUCUAAGCACCUUAAACCUUUCAUUAGAUCUACCAUAUAAUUGGUUUUGUUCUGGGCACCUGGGUGGCUCAGUCGUUUAAACGGUUAAACGUCUGCCUUCAGCUCAUGUCAUGAUCCCGGGGCUGGGAUCGAGCCCCACAUCAGGCUCCCUGUUACUUGGGAAGCCUGCUUCUCCCUCUCCCACUCCCCCUGCUUGUGUUCCUUCUCUCGCUGUGUCUCUCUCUGUCAAAUAAAUAAAUAAAAUCUUUAAAAAAAAAUAAUUGGUUUUGUUCUUUCUUGACCUUUCUAAAGUGAGGAAAAACCUUGCCUCUUUUAAUUCAGGAACUGUCUUUGCAUAUUUACAUAGGUACAUCUUUCAUUCUACUCCCCAACUGUUAUAUGCAUGGUUGGGCGAUUAUAGUUAAAUGAAUGGAUGAAUGGAUAAAUAAAAGGCAGAUUUCAAAAGGAGGAGCAAGAAGCUUCAGAGACACAAUGAGAAAGGAAACACAAGCACGGGGAGUGGGGGAUAGGGAGAAGCAGGCUCCCCGCGGGGCAGGGAGCCCGAAGCGGGGCUCCAUCCCAGGACGCUGGGACCAUGACUUGAGCCAAAGGCAGACACUUAACGACUGAGCCACCCAGAUGCCCCUAGCAGGGGGAAAUGCAAACCAGAAUUAAAUGUCCAAACUAGGAAGAAAGAAACAGUGGAUGUUCAUGUCUUUAGGUCCCACAGCUGUUAUGACUGGAUCAUGAAUUUGACUCUAAAUAUAACAAAAGAGAAAAAAAGUAGAGGUGAGUGAAAUUUGUAUGUGAGGAUACCACAUGAAACCCUUUUUUAGGACUUAAUUCUCAAAUAGAGUCCCUCUGUGGGAGCCUCAAAAAGAGUCUUUUUGGAAAAUGUUGGGAAUGGUUUCUUCAGUAACAUUCCCUAUAAUAUAUGUAGUGAUAGGUUUAAUAGGACGGCUUCUUUUUGAUCUCACAAUGAAACUCAAGGCCAUAGGGGUGCCUGGGUGGCUCAUUCAGUUAAGCGUCUGCCUUUGGCUCAGGUCAUAAUCCCAGGGUCCUGGGAUCGAGUCCUGUAUCGGGCUUCCUGCUCAGUGGGGAGUCUGCUUCUCCCUCUCCCUCUGCUUCCCCCCCGCCUCCCGCUGUGCUCUCUCUCUCUCUCAAAUAAAUAAAUAAAAUCUAAAAAAAAAAAAAAAAAAAGAAACUCAAGGCCAUAAUGUUAAAGCAUGAUUUGAUAAGAAGAGUUAUGUGAGAUACCAUGAUUGUAUGGACCAAGCAUGCAUGGUUUGGUAUGAUCCACAUAUAAAAUCUGGAGUACUGAGAGGGAUGGAAUGAUGGUCUGUACAUUUGCCAGUCAAUCCUGAGCUUCGUAUAUACUUCAGAAAUCAAAUGAACGCAUGGUAGAGUUAAUGUCUUUGUCCUGAAAAUUGAGAAGUAUAGACAGGGGAUAUAGUGACAGUUCAUGAUAUUGAGCUCACAGUUGAAUGGGUAAUUUUCCCAGGCUACAGGACUAUUAUAGAAGCCAAGAAAGUAAAUUUUCAGUAAGAAGAUAUUUUUCAGUCUUGUGAAAUACAGCAGAGAGAUGGAUGCCAUGUUAUAUAAGGAUUAAAAAGUGUCCAUUGCAUUUCAGAGACAGGUCUUGGGUAUCUUAGCAGGUACAGCAUCAGUGGAGUGUUGCAGAGUAGAAAUCCCAUUGUAAUGGGUUCAGGAUUGAGUGCAAGAUGAGGAAGGGGCAACUUUGUAUGUAGACUUACCUUGUAGUUGAAGGUGUAUUGGGAAGAAGGAGAGAACCAGAAUCUUGGGGCCCCAGUGUUGAAGGAGGAGUUUUGUUGAAGGACCUAAAGAGGCUUGAGAUUGUAUGCUAAGGAUGACGAACCAAGGGAGAUGGAAAAAUUGAAGAUAAAAAGCAGAAUGAUGGGGUGCCUGGGUGGCUCAGUCGGUUAAGCAUCUGUCUUCGGCUCAGGUCAUGAUUCCAGAGUCCUGGGAUCGAGGCCCGCAUUGGACUCCCUGUUCAGUGGAGAGUCUGCUACUUUCUCAGCCUCUGCCUCUGUUCCUGCUUGUGUGCCCCCCCCCCAAUAAAUAAGUACAUAGAAAAACAGAAUGAGGAUUAAUAUUGCAAGGUGCUUGUGAUUGGGGGUGGGAAUUCAGGUCAUUGAAGGUGGCAAAUGGAUCAGUUCUACUGAGCUCAGCUCUGCUGAGAAGUAAGAGUACCCAUCUCAUUCUACAUCCCUGCCCUCCCCAAGUCAUACAGAGAAGUACAGACAUGGAUAAAGGGGUUUAGUCUAGAAAAGGUGGAUGAAAUCAGGAUAUGAAUCAAGAUCGGGGCUUCUGGGUGGCUCAGUUGGUUGAACAUCUGGCUCUUGAUUUCGGCACAGGUCAUGAUCUCAUGCUCAGUGGGGAGUCUGCUUAAGGAUUUCUCUCCCUCUCCCCCCUUCUCUUGCGUGCAUGCUCUCUCUCUCUCAGGUAAAUAUGUCUUUAAAAAAAAAAAAAAAAAAAGGACAUGCAUGACUCAACUGAAGAGGUGACUGAGACCAGCAGCAGUUCUCUCCUAAACUUUGAAAAUGAGAGCUGUCGUGGGAGCUGUAAAUAAGGGGACCUGGGUGUGGAACAUGGAUUAAGUGGACAGAGAAACCAAGAAGCCCAGCAAAAAUAAAAAUGUAUUCCAUUUUGCCACUUCUUCCAGUAGAUGAUUUUGUUUUUGUGUACCUAGUGGCUCCUUCUACCCCCGGGACUUUCUCACCCAGGAAGGAACACGUGUGGUGGAGGCAACAGGGAUCUGGAUAGUAAGGAAGCUGGAUUUGCACGUCUCGUAUAGGAAGUUUGUUUUAGGUGGACAUUUGAAACCCACUUACAGUUAGCAUGUAGAGUUAAAGGCUGAAGACCGAAGGCCUUAGGAACUGUGUUUGCUGUUGGGACACGUUCAAAUAAAGAAAAGUAGAUGACACUCAGUGACCGAACUGUAUUUAUUGGCCUGGAAAGGCACAUGGCCUACUCAGAUCAGUUCUCACCAUCCAAAAGGAGCAGAUUUCAGGGCUGAGUCAAGGGCAAGGGAGAAAAAGGAAGAUGCUUUUCUGUCAGGUAAAGGGCUGGUUAAGAAAAUGUCAUCUACUUUGGGCACCAGAGAACAGCUUUUAGUUGCUACUGCAGCAGGAGCAGCAACAGCUGGAUAGAUUGUGCUGGAGCUUUUGUCGGCAGAGAGCAGAAAGCCCAUGGUGGUGGAAGCAGUAGUUGAGAGAAAUCGUGGAGAAAGGAAAAUAAUGUGCAGCUUACGUAAUGUGGUAAAAGGCCUGGUAGAAAAGGGGAGAAAUUGUUUUAUUCUAUUUAUAAGUAACCAACAUGUUUUCCAAGGCCUGAGCAGCUCUGAAUCAAGAAAUAGGAGUCACAGUAACAUUAGGAACUAGGAAUUUCUUGAAAGUCUUGGUGUGAGCUUCUCUUUUUAACUGGGAACUGCAGAAAUGCCUAGUCCAAGUGCAGACCUUGAGUGGCUCAUGCAUUUAUUCUCUGGCUACUAUCCCAGCAGCCAUGGGCCAGAGAGGUCCCUACUUUUGGGGCCCUUGACUUGUGGUCAAGAAUCCUUUCCUUUUUGCCAUUUUUAUUUCAGUGGACGAUUUUGUUUCUUUUAUCUAGAGGGCUCCCCCGACCACAAGGUCAUCCAGGGAGUGAGGAUCAGGAAUCCUCUUCUGCUGCCACCCUCAGUCUACUGUGGUAGGAUUGCCUUUGGGUGCAGGGCAUGUGCUGGAAUGGCAGAUUUGUGUAAAUAGGACUUAGCUGCGCUUGUCUCUUGCUGUCUCUGUACUUCUUUCAACAAGAGCCCCAUGGGCUUGGGUUACUCCGCACCUACAGGAGGAACCUGAAACCAAGGCGUGGGAGUCAUGGGAACCACUCAAUCUGGUUUGCAAACACAUUGGGGGCUUAACCCACCUCUCUGCAGGGCUGAUUCUGUUUUCCUCCUAGACAAGAUUUUGUGUGGUUCAGGUAUUCUGGCCCCCAGGAACUGUGGAGUGCAUACAGAUAUGCAGAGAGGACAGGCUCUGAUACAAGUACCAACCCAGUAUUUUUGUCUUUUGAGCUUUUCCUCGCUAUGCCUUGGCAAAAGAAAUAAGGAGGAAAUGGUUUGAGUGAACACAUCAUUACUGGCUUCUGAUAGCUCUAGCUCUCUCUGUCGGAAAGUUAUUUGUGUGGAUAUUUGUUACUAGUUAUAAUGCUUAGUAACAGUUUCAGGAACUCAUUUAAUAGUUUCUCCUAGGUGUGCAGUUGUUUUUCUCGAGCAGAUUUGGUUUUUAAUCACACAUCCUGGAUUAAGAAUGACAGUUAUCUAACAUUUAUGAAAUUAUCCUGACAACUGAAUUUAUAGUCCAUUUGUUAACAGGCUGUUGCUAAUUCGAUCUAUUUGCAUCUUCUCUAACCUGUGAGCAAUUUGGAGGGAACCAGAUUUAUUUUAUUUAUUCCUCUAUUCCUUGUGCUUACCAUGUAGUAGGCGUGCAAAAGUAGAGAUAAUAGCAAUAAUGAAGGGAAACAUGGACCUUGAGUUUCUGGAGCUUGUAUUCUGAUGGGUCUUCAAAGGAUAUUGAAUGUGAGUAUAUUGGAGUGUGUGUGUGGAGUGGGAAAGUUUUGAAAUGGGUGUGAUGUAUUAGGGUUCUCCUGAGAAACAGAACCAACAGGAUGUAUUUAUGGAGAGAGAAAGAGAUUUAUUAUAAGGGAUUGUCUCAUGUGAUUAUGGAGGCUCAGAAGUCCCAAGAUACGCGCUAUACACACUGGAGAUCCAGGAGAGCCGAUGAUGUGGUUCCAAUCUGAGUCCAGAGGCCUAAGAAUCAUGAGAGCUGAUGGCAGGUGGUUCAGUCCAAAAGCUGACAAACUUAAGACUCAAGAAAAGCUGAUGUUUCAGUUUGAGUUGACUGGGAACCCAAAGUUGGCAAGAAAAGACUGAUGUCUUGGCUCAAGUGCUCAGACAUGAGGACUUCUCUCUUAUUCCAGGGAAGGCCAGCCUUUUUGUUCUAUUUGGACCUUGAACUGAUUGGUUGAGGGCCACCCACAUUAUGGAGGGCAAUGUGCUUUACUCAGUCUUUGAUGCAAAUGUUAAUUUCAUUCAGAAACACCGCGAGACACGCUCAGAGUACUGUUUGACCAGAUGUCAGGUAACCUCUCCCCACCAGCCUAGUCAAGCUGUGACACAUAAAAUUAACUAUCAAAGAUAGAUAAUACAACAAUUUUAUAAUAUAAAUAUCAGUAUAAUAAUUUUAAAGCAUCAUGGAAUAAGUGACUGAACUUUUAAAAUUGUUGAAUUAGGAAUCAUUCUCCCACUUUUCCAGGACUAUUUUCAUUUGAAGUUGAUGUAGUAUAUGUUAUUUAAAAAUUACUCAGAUGUUAACAGAUUUGACUCUUCUUAGUAAUUGAAUCAUUCUUGUGCAGAAACCCUUUGCUGCAAUGCAAAAAAAAAAAAGGUGCUAUUGGUAAAAGAAGGGGUGUCAAAUAUAUAGUACAGGACUGUUGUUUUAAAAAUUAUUUUUUUAAAAGUAUAGUAGUAGCAAAUUGCUAUGCUGCUGUAUUAUCUCUUCCUGUAUCUGGUGCUGAUUUCUGAUCAUUCUGGAUUAUGUUUAAAACCAAAGGCAGUCUGUGAAUACAAAAAAUUAGUAUUUUGUAUUUAAGUUAUAAAAACUCUUUGUUGAGAAAAUACCUAGAUUCAUAAAGAAUGAUUUUUCACUGUCCACAUAGUUCCUUAUCUGUAUGUUCUAUCAUUUAUCCUUUAUUACUAGAAUUCUUUACUUUUUAAAUUGAUGCACUAAAUUUUUUUUAAAUUUUAUUUUAUUAUGUUAUGUUAAUCACCAUACAUUACAUCAUUAGUUUUUGGUGCAGUGUUCCAUGAUUCAUUGUUUGCAUAAAACACCCAGUGCUCCAUUCAAUAUGUGUCCUCUUUAUUUAUUUUUUAUUUAUUUAUUUAUUUUUUAAAUACAUUCUUUUUAUUUAUUUAUUUAUUUAUUCAUGAGAGACAGAGAGAGAGAGAGAGAGAGGCAGAGGGAGAAGCAGGCUCCCAAGGAGCAGGGAGCCCGAUGCGGGACUCGAUCCCAGGACCCUGAGAUCAUGACCUGAGCUGAAGGCAGACGCUUAACCAUCUGAGCCACCCAGGCGCCCAAUAUGUGUCCUCUUUAAUACCCAUCACCUGGCUAACCCAUCCCCCCAACCCCCUCCCCUCUAGAACCCUCAGUUUGUUUCUCAGAGUCCAUAGUCUCUCAUGGUUUGUCUCCCCCUCCGAUUCCCCCCCUUCAUUUUUCCCUUCCUACUAUCUUUUUUUUUUUUUUUUAAUAUAGAAUGUAUUAUUUGUUUCAGAGGUACAGGUCUGUGAUUCAUCAGUCUUACACAAUUCACAGCACUCACCAUAGCACAUACCCUCCCCAAUGUCUAUCACCCAGUCACCCCAUCCCUCCCACCCCCCACCACUUCAGCAACCCUCAGUUUGUUUCCUGAGAUUAAGAAUUCCUCAUAUCAGUGAGAUCAUAUGAUACAUGUCUUUUCUCUGGCUGACUUAUUUCGCUUAGCAUAAUACCCUCUAGUUCCAUCCACGUCAUUGCAAAUGGCAAGAUUUUGGUUUUUUUGAUGGCUGCAGUAUAUUCCAUUGUAUAUAUACACCAUAUCUUCUUUAUCCAUUCAUCUGUUGAUGGACAUCUUGGCUCUUUCCAUAGUUUGACUAUUGUGGACAUUGCUGAAAUAAACAUUGGGGUGCACGUAUCCCUUUGGAACACUACAUUUGUAUCUUUGAGGUAAAUACCCAGUAGUGCAAUUGCUGGGUUGUACAGUAGCUCUAUUUUCAAAUUUUUGAGGAACCUCCAUAUUGUUUUCCAGAGUGUGGCUGCACCAGCUUGCAUUCCCACCAACAGUGUAGGAGGGUUCCCCUUUCUCUGCAUCCUUGCCAGCCUCUGUCAUUUCCUGACUUGUUAAUUUUAGCCAUUCUGACUGGUGUGAGGUGGUAUCUCAUUGAAGUUUUGAUUUGGAUUUCCCUGAUGCCGAGCGAUGUUGAGCACUUUUUCAUGUAUCUGUUGGCCAUUUGGAUGUCUUCUUUGGAAAAAUGUCUGUUCAUGUCUUCUGCCCAUUUCUUGAUUGGGUUAUUUGUUUUUUGGGUGUUGAGUUUGAUGAGUUCUUUAUAGAUUUUGGAUACUAGCCCUUUAUGUGAUAUGUCAUUUGCAAAUAUCUUCUCCCACUCUGUCGGUUGUCUUUCGGUUUUGUUGACUGUUUCCUUUGCUGGAUGCACUGAGUAUUUUUGUUUAUAAGUUUCCUGCAUAGCUCCCUCCCUCCCUCUCUCUCUCUUUUUUACAAUAAAUGCUGUGGAGUUAAUAAAUGGAGUGGAGCUGUGUCAAUGUCUAGUUUUUGAACAGUUUUAAUAAAUAUUGCCUAAUUGCUCUUAUUUUAUAAGCUCUUAUAUAAAAUAUUAAUAAUUGAUAACUUAUAUUGAGUGCUAGGUAGAACCUGAGCUUUAUGUGGAUUGUUUCAUCUGAUCCUCAAAAUAACCUUGUGAUUAAGAUGUUAAUAUUGCCCUUUAGGCAACAGCUGAGUGCCUACAGUGUGCAAAGCACUGUGCCAGGCAAGGGAACUAUAGGAAUGAACAGUGCAACCAUUGUUGAUGCCCACAUUCUAAAGGAAAAGGACAACUACUACUCUCAGUUUAUUUAAUUGUCAUAGUGAGAAAGACUCUGAAAGAAAUAUUUAGGCUACUUUGAAAGUACUAUCACACAGGGUAUAAGGAGGAGUGGCAAGAAAGAAAUUAUCUUUGAAUAAACACCUUUGCAGCUUAAGUUCAGUAGGCCACAUGGGGGAAGGAAGUGUGUUAGGCUGAGAAGGCAGCAUGUGUGACUCCUAGUCUCUUCUGUCACAGUGUCUGGAAGACUGAGUUUGUAUUUGAGAAGAGUAUGUUGCCCAGCAGAUCUGGUUUCAUGAAAAAUCUGAAUUUGAGCCGUUUUCUGUUCAGAAUGCUUACUUCUGGGGCACCUGGGUAGCUCAGUCAGUUAAGCAUCUGCCUUCGGCUCAGGUCAUGAUCCCAGGGUCCUGGGAUUGAGCCCCGCAUCAGGCCCCCUGUUCCUUGGGAAGCCUGCUUCUCCCUCUUCCACUCCCCCCCUGCUUGUGUUCCCUCUCUCGCUGUCUCUCUCUCUGUCAAAUAAAUAAAUAAAAUCUUAAAAAAAAAAAAAAAGGAUGCUUUCCUUCAUCCCAUCUGGUCUCCACAGACCACAUCAGAGAGGAUGUCACUUAAGGGACUUACUAAAAGAUUCUGUGGGCUUUGUAGAUUGAUAAGACAUGGUAUGGGGGAGAAAAGUAGAGAUAAGCUUAUUUUUGUUCUAUUGUACAAUUUCUGUCUCUUUUUAUCUGCCUUGUGAUGCCAGUGAAAGUAAGACUGCUGUCCGGCAUGUGCGUAGGUUGGUGGAGAGGCUCUAUGAUUUUCAAUUACUUUCUCUAGACAGCUUCUCCAGUAAGUUACCUACCUCCUAGUUUUUUCCCCUAAGAUUCAUACAGUAAAUUACAACCCAUUUCUUAGAAUUGUAGUUCCAUGAAAGGUUGCUUUGGAGUAAGCUAAAAAUAAUUUUUUAAAAAAGAUUUUAUUUAUUUGACAGAGCAAGAGAGCACAAGUGAGGGGAGCAGCAGGUAGAGGGUGAGGGAGAAGCAGGCUCCCCACUGAGCAGGGAGCCUGACAUGGGGCUCCAUCCCAGGACCCUGAGAUCAACCCCAGCCAAACGCAGAUGCUUAACUGACUGAGCCACCCAGGCGCCCUGUUAAAAAUAAUUUUUAACUGAAAAAAUUAAUAUAUAAACUAAGGAGAGGUUAAUUGUCCUUAGCAUAGAACUCCCUUCCAUUACCUUCUUUGAAUCUUUUUGUGACCUCAGAAAGAAAAAAAGGUGGAAAGUCUGUAAAAAUAAUGUAUUUCAAAAUGCUUUCUGCCUUCUAAAAUGUAUGAAUCUUGUUUCUAGUGGAAUUAUGAUACAGUCCUGUGUGUUCAAAUGAUCAUGCUGCUUUUUCCUUUGAUUGCUCAGAAUUAAGCUUGAGUGCAGCAAAGCUAUAAAAAUCACAAGUAGAGUGGGUUGUGUUGUGAGGUCUUUAAUCAUUAUGAACAAAAAUAAAAUAGAAAGUUACCUCAAGAUACUAUUUUGGAAUAUGAUAUUACCUUGUGGACAUUUAUGCUUUUGUUUUUCUAAUCAUGAUUGUGAUUUUGGGAUUAUUUCAUUAUAUAUAAACAAGGAUUGAUAAGGCAAAAGAAAUAGUUCAUCAUAGUAUUAAUAUUUUAACAAUAAUCUUUUGUACCUGCCUAAGGAAGAGAUAAAAAAAGGUGUUGUUUUUUUUUUUCUUUUAUUCUUUAAAACAAAACAAAAUAAAACUGAGCUAAUUUAAGCGGUUGCAAUUUCUGGGAAACAAAGGCUUUGGUGUACAUGCUUUUGAUAGUAGACAUUGUGACCAUAUCAUGUAUGCUUUCUUAAUAAUGUCUGACAUUAUCAGAUUGAUUAACUCAGCAUGAGGCCUAAUCAUAUUUAACUAUGGUUGGCAGCUGUACACUAGAAGAAUAGUAAUACAGAGGGGGAAUAAAAUUAGUUUUUUAAUAAGCUGUAUUAAAUACAAAACUAAAAAAUGUAUCAGAAGCAUUCAUUAUUUCGCAUUGACAUGUAAAACUAUUGUAUUCACACAGUAUCCUUUUCAAAUUCAUGCUGACUUAUAUUUUCAAAGAUUGGCUACUGCCAGAAGCUAGACCUACUGAUAAUAAGAUUUUCAUUUGAUAAUUGAUGGUGUAGGUUUCAGGGAGUUAUGAUUUCCUGCAGGCUUCAAAGGUCAACAUUUGUAUCUACAUAUUGGUGUUCACUGUGUAAACGUCAUAGAUUAUCCAACCCAUCUAAAACUGGAACCAAAACCUCUGCUUACUUUUCCCAGAAUCAGCAUAUUUCUUUAAAAAAUUAGUCAUUGCAGAAGUAAUUGUUUUCCCCAUUGCUUUUUUUUUUUUUUUAAAGAUUUUAUUUAUUUAUUCAUGAGAGAUAGAGAGAGAGAGAGAGGCAGAGGCAGAGGGAGAAGCAGGCUCCCCGCAGAGCAGGGAGCCCGAUGCGGGACUCGAUCCCAGGACCCUGGGAUCAUGACCUGAGCCGAAGGCAGACGCUUAACCAACUGAGCCACCCAGGCGUCCCUUCCCCAUUGCUUUUUGAAAAAUAUUUAUUUAUUUGAGAGAGAAAGUGUGAGUGAGUGAGUGCCUGUGAGUGGGGGGGAGGGGACAGAGGGAGAGAAUCUCAAGCAGACUCACUGCUGAGCAUGGAGCCCCACAUGGCCUGAUCCCCAGGACCCAUGAGAUCAUGAUCUGAGCUGAAACCAAGAGUCAAGAGUUAGAUACUCAACCAACUAAGCCACCAGGUGCCCUUCCUCAUUGCUUUUUUUAAAAAUAUAAUCGUAAAAAGUUAAUAAAUGAUACAUAUGAAAGAGUCCUAAAUUAAGGAGGUGUGAUUAAUUCUGAUUCUGCCUGUUAACUUUAACUGGGGUCUUGGAGUUUAAUUAGAUCUAUUCACCAAAUGUUUAGUGAAUGCCUAUCAUGUGCAGACCGUUCAGGGCUCUGUGGUUUUGACCAAAACUGCAAAGAUUUUGGCCUCAAUCAAAGCACUAUUUUGGUGUGCUGAGAUUCCCUAUUAAGGAUAACAGUCAUUAAUUACACUUUGAGGACUAAUUUUCAAAUAUCUGAGAAAUAGGCAUAACAAAAACAGUCAGUUUCUGAGUUGUGUUGCAUAAAAUAUUUGCAUAGAAUUUUCUCCUCCACUAGCUGACACCCAGCUUUUUAGUAAGUUUUCUAAAGCUAUUGAGCUAAUAAAACUUUUAGUGAAUAUUCAAAUUUUAGUCAGAUGUUAUCAUUCAGAAUUAAAGUAACAAAAUAGCUAAGUGAGUGGAAAAGUUUGCAAACUAUAUGGAGCAAUUUUCACCUUCUAGAAAAAGAAUAACUGUAUUUCAGAGAGCAGUUUUCCAAAUAAACAUGCAUUAAAGUGUACUUAGAUGCCUCAUAUAUUAACACAUAAUCAUGUUAUAUGUAUAAGAAAUAAUAUAUAUUCAAUUUCUCAUGUUGCUUAGGAUUUCUAAUUUAAUUAGUACAGUGUCAUGACUAGUUUGAAUCCCAAAAAUUAAAUACAUUUUUAAUUUAGGAAAAGAAGCAAUUUCUUUCAUUUUAAGGUAGAGUGGCCCCUAACAGGUCCUCGCUGUAAGAUCAUAUAAUGUUUAAAGGUUUGAUAAGUCCCUGAAAUGUGAAAUUAGAUAACUUAGUGAAACUUAACCUUAACUAUAAUCUUGCAGAUGAGAAGAGAGUAAAAUAUUCUAGAUCCAAGAGGAGUUAUUUUGAGGAGCUUUAAGUGCCAGUAAAUGGAAGCUUAUAAUUAACAUGGCUAUUUAGCUGUCAGUGUAGCUUUAUUUUAAUGUAUAAUGUGUCUAAGACAUGAUGUAGGUACACAGAAGCAUUUGUGGAAUUGAAUUAAAUGUAUGCUUCCUAGAUGUAGCUUCCAAAAGAUAUUGAGCAGUUGUUGAACUACACUAAAUUAUAAACAAUAAUCAAAUGAUCAAUAUUAAUUUAUGAAAUCAGUAACUAAUUUACAAUAAAAAGAAUUGAUUUGUGGUAGAAUUCAGCUGUAAAUUUUGUGUAAAUAUACUAUUAAAACCUAAAUUGCCAAACCCUGGCAGUAUAGAACCAAGCAUAGCAAUAUUAGAUAUAACUUACAACUUACUGAUAGUUCAUUUAAACAGAUAUUCACAUGUUCAUUUUGUAAUUGUUUUUUGGGUCAUGUGGUGAUAAAUCAUUCAGUAUACUAAAUUGUCGCUUUUUAGUGUUAUUGAAUUUUACAUACACUUUACUAAUCAAACCUUGAAUCAUUGUGUAAGUUUUUAAAGUGUAGGAGGUUGGGUAGACUAAGCACACCAUUUAAUUUAUUUUCCUUUAUAAAUAUGUCUUUAAAACAACUGUCAUUUAAAAAAAUUAUACCAUCUUUAAUUUUCAGGUAAUAAAUUGACAGAUUCUGUUCAGUAGUAAUUUCAGGAAAUAUUAACUCUUCUCUCUUGGAUACCUCUGUCAACACUCAUUCACUGAUGCUUAAAAUCAGUUAAUAGUCAACAGUGCCUUUCAUUUACCUGUUAGAAGGCCAUAAAUGUAAAUAAGCCUGGAAGAGAACAUGUUUGACUUAUUACUACAUUAAGAUUCAAAUCACUGAUACCAAAUUCUUUUCUUAGAGUCUUUGAUAGGGAAGAGAACACAGUGGGAUAGGCUGGGGCUUGUAGCAAAGGUGGGCUGUGGGUACCAAAGAUAAAUAACCUAUCAUAACCUAUUUUUAAAUUUUGCCAAGGCAAUCCCUGUGAUUAAGUCCCUUAAACAGUUUUGGGAUGUCUUUUUAUUAACCCUCUCAUUUGCAGCCCUGUCUGGUAUUCAGAAUUGCACCCUGAGGAUAUUUUGUUAAUGCAGAAAAUUUUGAUAGUGCUAAUAUUCUUUGGGAAGUAUAAUGUUGUACAUAUACUGUAGUCCUCCC